CAUCACAGACAUUUCUCAGCUCACUGGAUGGAUACGAUUUCAUUGACUGGCAGCGACGCCGCUGUUCCACAGCACGAGACAUGACGCUGGAUUUCUAUAGGAGACAUUCACAAGUUAUGAAGAUCCUGAUGGGUCACCACAGGAAACGCAUGGUAGACAGUGGUGCGGAGGAUACUGACCAGGGACUGGACUCGAGUAUGAGGGUACACGUAGGUCAGGUUGGGCUCCAUGAUGUCACUGGCGGUUAAUCUGACUGAGAGGAGAGGAAAAUAAGAUGUUCUUACACUUUGAGGAUGUUGGCGACCAGCCGUCCGAACGCUGCCCCACAGAGCAAAGACGGCACAAAGAGUCCACUGGGUAUGGACACACCGUAGGUCCAACAAGCCAAGAGGAAAUAGAACACGAAGAACAGCAACAGAGUCAAAGGACUGAAGGUUCCUGUUUUGUUGCUGCAGAAGAACUGACGGAUGGUGGAGUUGAUGUCUUCUCCGGAAACCUGAGAGAAAAUGCAAAAUGCUUAGCAUGUGACGAUAAAAGUGAUGUCCUAAGGCAAAGGACAUACAGUUUACUCCACCCUUGUGGUAAAAGGGAUGUACAGCUCACGGCAUUCGCCCAAAAGCAUAGAAGCUGCAAAGAUCACCACUGUCGUCACCAUGCUGACCAGGAGACCCUCCAACACUCUGGGAGAAGACAGUGUCACACAGAUUCUAUGAACAGAUUCUCACAAUGACAUCAGCAUAUCGCUGCCAGGUUUUUCCCUUCAUCUAUAUUGUCUGCAAAGACAAUGUGAUGAAGUUAGACAACAGCUAGCAGGCACAGAGGCAUUAAAGGGUUCACCUGAUGAAUUUAGCCUUAGGGUGGAUGUGUCUCAUGCGAUACUUUGCCAGGCAC
Cynoglossus semilaevis (tongue sole) is the source of this 891-nucleotide long non-coding RNA. RefSeq lists it as uncharacterized. The transcript is spliced from 6 exons. Lineage: Eukaryota; Metazoa; Chordata; Actinopteri; Pleuronectiformes; Cynoglossidae. The record is from RefSeq and is a predicted model, not a curated record.